UGAUGUUCUUGAAUCACCUUUGGUGUGUU
This 29-nucleotide non-coding RNA is filed under the name Rattus norvegicus (Norway rat). Lineage: Eukaryota; Metazoa; Chordata; Mammalia; Rodentia; Muridae. The record is from RNAcentral.